CUUGGCCGCGGGGGCAAACCCCAGCUCUGCAGGGCACCCGGCUUAUACCCGCAGAAGAGCCCUUUUCCCGAGGUACUGGGAUUGUUCAUGUCAGUCUGAGCGUCUCUGCAUGUGAGGUAAGCCUAGGAACUUUCUUCUGCUACGCAGGCUGUCCGGAGGAGUCAGUGUUACAGCUUAGUAUUUGUGGCAUUACCUCUGCAAUCUUGGAUAUAAUCCUCUGAAUUAAGCAGAGGAAUUUUUUCGAUGCCCGAUUGCAGCCAACAGGUCAGCUAUGGAACAAGUUCACUGGUGACUGUGACAGGCCUUCCUAUGUCAUAUCCUCAGUGCUAAAUUGCAGACUCUAAUAGUUUGCUGAAGACAUGCUGUCAGGAUGAUGGAGAUGAGGUGUAAAAGUUCUCCAACUACGCAGCAGAGAGGGGUUCGGUUGCAGUUCAGUCAAAAGCAGAAGCCUGCUCCCCAGAGCCUUAUGCUGCUAAAAAAGCACUGAGUUGCAGAAGAAGGAACUGCCUUCCCAACUGGAUGUGUUUCCAGAGGCUCCUUUCUUCACUCACCUGUCCCUGGGACCCUCUUUCCAUCUUCCUCUGUGACUUAAGUGUGAAGGCUGCACUCCCCUACUUGAAACCAGCUGUCUGUAUGAUUGUGAAGCUUUCCUGAGCAAGUUCCCCUUCCAGGUCCAGAUAGUAUGCAAUCCCCUGUAAACUAUAGAUAUUGCAAGUCCUAAAACAAAUUACCGUGUUAACGGAACAUGAGUACCAACGGCAAAAUAUUUUUCCAGCAAGCAGCAGUGCUCUUGCUAGACGUGACCUUCAAGCAGAGAUAAUGAGAGAGAAAUUCUUGGGAAAAGCGCAAGGAAAAUAGAUGCUUCUAACAUCACGAAAGAAAAAACCUAUGGUCGUUCUCAGCCUUUGGUUGUUCCUCUGACUUGAUCCAGAUUAUGGAAAGCAGGGCUGGGGAAUGACAAUGAUCAAGACGGCAGAGCUAGGAUUGCACCUCCUCUUUUGCAUGGUUUGAGAAAAGUCUGUGCAGCGGGUCUGUCUUGUGCCAGAUGAAAAAGAAAUCAUCACAAAAGACAGCAGCUGAACAGCCUUGCGCUGGAGGAGUAACCUGUGCCAAGGAGACCUUGAAAGGUGGCAUGAGCUGCGUGUUCAGAGCUGCUGGGAGAGGACACAGUGAUUUGGAGAGAAGCCUCAGGCGCACUCUUCCGUUUCCAAGGGCAGGAAACAUCUGAUGCUUUCUUGGUCUCUUCACAACAGUUCCCUGGUUGUGAGGCCUUGGUGACACAAUCUUAGAGCCACGGGACCUGCUUUGUAGUCCCAGCAUUGUGGAAGGUGUGAGGACGCUGCAGACUGCAUGUUGUUGUCGCUCUCAGACCUGCUCUGAGCGUCUGGGAGUGCUGAUAAGAUGAGGAUGCAUGCAGUAUGAGGACAUUCAGACAGUCUGUCCUCAGCUUGGCCUUCGCAGUACGGUUCCAGCUCUGACUCAAGAAGCAGCAGGAUCUAUGAGCUCUGACUGAGCAAGGAAGCAUUGCCCUGCAGCUGGCGUUUUGCACGCUGCAUGUUCAA
This is a non-coding RNA of Struthio camelus australis, 1562 nucleotides long. NCBI's taxonomy places the organism in Eukaryota, Metazoa, Chordata, Aves, Struthioniformes, Struthionidae. The record is from RefSeq and is a predicted model, not a curated record.